Molecule: ribosomal RNA, 466 nt
Filed under: uncultured bacterium
Lineage: Bacteria
Description: partial 16S ribosomal RNA
Rfam family: Bacterial small subunit ribosomal RNA
Source: RNAcentral
GAUGAACGCUGGCGGCGUGCUUAACACAUGCAAGUCGAACGAUGAAGCCCAGCUUGCUGGGUGGAUUAGUGGCGAACGGGUGAGUAACACGUGAGUAACCUGCCCUUAACUCUGGGAUAAGCCUGGGAAACUGGGUCUAAUACCGGAUAGGAGCGUCCACCGCAUGGUGGGUGUUGGAAAGAUUUAUCGGUUUUGGAUGGACUCGCGGCCUAUCAGCUUGUUGGUGAGGUAAUGGCUCACCAAGGCGACGACGGGUAGCCGGCCUGAGAGGGUGACCGGCCACACUGGGACUGAGACACGGCCCAGACUCCUACGGGAGGCAGCAGUGGGGAAUAUUGCACAAUGGGCGCAAGCCUGAUGCAGCGACGCCGCGUGAGGGAUGACGGCCUUCGGGUUGUAAACCUCUUUCAGUAGGGAAGAAGCGAAAGUGACGGUACCUGCAGAAGAAGCACCGGCCAACUACGUG